AAACAACCAAUGAUGGGGAAUAGUAAAUAAGAACACGCAUGAUCAGAGAAAAACCGCCUUAGGCUGCAAGUGGUUUUACAUGACGACUUAUUGAAUGAACACCCCGUAGGUUCAACUCUGAAAAGAUGUCUUAGUAGGAAUUGACGUAUGCAGGCGUUAACUGCCUUGAGUGGAAGCUUUUUUAGGCUUCAAUUAGGGUGGCACCACGGGAAUUUCAAACUCCCGUCCCUUGU
Molecule: non-coding RNA, 233 nt
Filed under: Jeotgalibacillus campisalis
Lineage: Bacteria; Bacillati; Bacillota; Bacilli; Caryophanales; Caryophanaceae
Description: T-box sequence
Rfam family: T-box leader
About the family: Uncharged tRNA acts as the effector for transcription antitermination of genes in the T-box leader family. T-boxes are found upstream of many aminoacyl-tRNA synthetase genes and some amino acid biosynthetic genes usually in Gram-positive bacteria.
Source: RNAcentral